AGAGUUAAAUAGUACGUGAAAUUGCUAAAAGGGAAACGAUUGAAAUCAGUGUUGGCCGUAGGAAAUCAGCUAGUCAGCAAUGGCUGGUGCACUUUCCUGCGGCCAGGUCAACGUCGGCUCUGGGCAGCGUAAAUCAGUGCGGGAAGGUGGCUCCCUCGGGAGUGUUAUAGCCUGCACGAGUGCGCUGCGCGGGGCCGAGGCUCGCAGUGCAUGCCUUUGGCUGGCGAACCAGGCUCUACUUGGUACUCGGUAUUGGACAGCAUGCUGACCAGUGCCGCGUGCCAGGUAAUAGUCUGGCUAGUACAAAUGCACUCAGGACGUUGACGAAAUGGUUUUAAACGACC
RNAcentral lists this non-coding RNA (344 nucleotides) under uncultured fungus. Lineage: Eukaryota; Fungi. RNAcentral also lists the same sequence under 1 other name. The record is from RNAcentral.